RNAcentral lists this ribosomal RNA (87 nucleotides) under Pseudomonadota bacterium. The record is from RNAcentral. Lineage: Bacteria; Pseudomonadati; Pseudomonadota.
CGUUCCCAUUCCGAACACGGAAGUUAAGCUCUUCAGCGCCGAUGGUACUGCAUGGGAGACUGUGUGGGAGAGUAGGUGCCGCCGGAA